Molecule: long non-coding RNA, 671 nt
Organism: Daphnia magna
Lineage: Eukaryota; Metazoa; Arthropoda; Branchiopoda; Diplostraca; Daphniidae
Exons: 2
Source: RefSeq, a predicted model, not a curated record
GCGCGCUCGGCCGGUUCCUCCAGUUCUUUUCGUUUGCCCAACGCCACCAGCACACACAGACACACCAAGAUUAUAUAGUGUGUAUAUAGCUCGGAGAAAAGAAUGGAAACGAAGAGAUAGAAACAAGCCCAGUGGCGUUGGCAGCCCCCCCCUCUCUUCUGGUAUAUAUAUAUAUAUACUCGUAUAUAGUAGCAACGGCACAGCUUCUGGGUGAUGGCCAAAGAGGAGGAAGGCACACCGCGCUUUCUUAGAGGAUUCCGAAAUAGUGUGUACAUGACUAUACAGUUCAGACAUCGUGGAACAUCCACACGACAGCACGGCCCCCCGAGUUGGAACAAGCAGCCAACCGGCUUCUUUUGUUGCUUGCAGCACUGGAAGCCGAUGCUCCUCCUACUCGUCUUCUUGCAACCUCCUCUCUGUGUCUCACGUUUUAUUACCUCCCUUUUUUUUUUUUUUUAUUCUUUUUCAUCUCUCCCCUUUGCGUCAACAACAUGGAACUUUUUGCUCGCCUCCCCAUCAUUUCCGGAUCAUCACUGAUUUUGCACACGUGCCACUAUUCUCUGCCAAUGUCCACAGCUUUGUUCGAUUUCGGUUAUGUGAAUAAAGGUGAAACGUUCUCUUGUUUGUGUACGCAAAAAAUCGAAUUUGAAUAAACGUCCCAAGAUUCGCCA